RNAcentral lists this ribosomal RNA (513 nucleotides) under Trapezionida alonsoi. Its description in RNAcentral is "Munida alonsoi partial 16S ribosomal RNA". It matches the Rfam family "Bacterial large subunit ribosomal RNA", at positions 1831 to 2597 of the family's 2925-position model. Lineage: Eukaryota; Metazoa; Arthropoda; Malacostraca; Decapoda; Munididae. The record is from RNAcentral.
GUCUGUGUGAAGUUAUAUGGAGUCUAACCUGCCCAUUGAAUAAUUUAAAAGGCCGCAGUAUAUUAACUGUGCAAAGGUAGCAUAAUCAUUAGUUUUUUAAUUGGAGGCUUGUAUGAAGGGUUGGACAAAGAAUGAUCUGUUUCUAUUUUUAUUUUUGAAUUUAACUUUCAAGUGAAAAGGCUUGAGUAAGUUUAAGGGACGAUAAGACCCUAUAAAUCUUUAUAUUAAAUUGUUUAAUAUUUAAUUAAUAUUGUGUACUAGAUAUUUAAAUAAUAUAUAUUGUGUUGGGGUGACGAGAAUAUAAUAAAUAGCUGUUCUAAAGUAAAAACAAUUUUUAUUGUGGUAAUAGAAGAUCCUUUAUUGAGAUUGAAAGUUUAAGUUACUUUAGGGAUAACAGCGUUAUUUUUUUUGAGAGUUCUUAUCGAAAAAAAAGUUUGCGACCUCGAUGUUGAAUUAAAAUUUCUUUGUGGUGUAGCUGUUGCAUGAGAGAGUCUGUUCGACUUUUAAAUUUUU